RNAcentral lists this ribosomal RNA (404 nucleotides) under uncultured bacterium. RNAcentral describes it as "bacterial SSU rRNA". It matches the Rfam family "Bacterial small subunit ribosomal RNA", at positions 362 to 758 of the family's 1533-position model. The record is from RNAcentral.
UUUUGGACAAUGGGCGAAAGCCUGAUCCAGCAAUGCCGCGUGCAGGAAGAAGGCCUUCGGGUUGUAAACUGCUUUUGUACGGAACGAAACGGCCUUUUCUAAUAAAGAGGGCUAAUGACGGUACCGUAAGAAUAAGCACCGGCUAACUACGUGCCAGCAGCCGCGGUAAUACGUAGGGUGCGAGCGUUAAUCGGAAUUACUGGGCGUAAAGCGUGCGCAGGCGGUUCUAUAAGACAGAUGUGAAAUCCCCGGGCUCAACCUGGGAAUGGCAUUUGUGACUGUAGAGCUAGAGUACGGUAGAGGGGGAUGGAAUUCCGCGUGUAGCAGUGAAAUGCGUAGAUAUGCGGAGGAACACCGAUGGCGAAGGCAAUCCCCUGGACCUGUACUGACGCUCAUGCACGAAA